GAUCAUGGCUCAGGAUGAACGCUGGCGGCGCGCCUAACACAUGCAAGUCGAACGGCACCUGCCCUCGGGCAGAAGCGAGUGGCGAACGGCUGAGUAACACGUGGAGAACCUGCCCCCUCCCCCGGGAUAGCCGCCCGAAAGGACGGGUAAUACCGGAUACCCCCGGGGGUGCCGCAUGGCACCCCGGCUAAAGCCCCGACGGGAGGGGAUGGCUCCGCGGCCCAUCAGGUAGACGGCGGGGUNACGGCCCACCGUGCCGACAACGGGUAG
RNAcentral lists this ribosomal RNA (270 nucleotides) under uncultured bacterium. RNAcentral's name for it is "partial 16S ribosomal RNA". It matches the Rfam family "Bacterial small subunit ribosomal RNA", at positions 15 to 286 of the family's 1533-position model. The record is from RNAcentral.